AGAGUUUGAUCCUGGCUCAGAGCGAACGCUGGCGGCGUGCUUAACACAUGCAAGUCGAACGCGCAGCAUUCUGUAGCAAUACAGGGUGUGGGCGCGUGGCGAACGGGUGCGUAACACGUGGAUAACCUUCCUUCAGGUGGGGAAUAACCCAGUGAAAAUUGGGCUAAUACCGCAUAACAUGACGAUGCCACAUGGUGUUGUCUUCAAAGCCGCAAGGCGCCAGAAGAGGGAUCCGCGGCCGAUUAGCUUGUUGGCGAGGUAAUGGCUCACCAAGGCAUUGAUCGGUAGCCGGACUGAGAGGUUGGCCGGCCACACUGGAACUGAGACACGGUCCAGACUCCUACGGGAGGCAGCAGUGGGGAAUCUUGCACAAUGGACGAAAGUCUGACGCAGCAACGCCGCGUGGGGGAUGAAGCUUUUCGGAGUGUAAACCCCUUUCGACCCGGAAGAAUGCCCGCAAGGGCUUGACGGUACGGGUAUAAGAAGCCCCGGCUAACUACGUGCCAGCAGCCGCGGUAAUACGUAGGGGGCCAGCGUUGCUCGGAAUUACUGGGCGUAAAGGGUCCGUAGGCGGUGUGGCAAGUCGGGAGUGAAAUCUCUGGGCUUAACCCAGAGGCUGCUUCCGAAACUGCCAUGCUAGAGUGUGAGAGAGGCGAGUGGAAUUACGGGUGUAGCGGUGAAAUGCGUAGAUAUCCGUAGGAACAUCCGAGGCGAAGGCGGCUCGCUGGAUCACAACUGACGCUGAGGGACGAAAGCUAGGGGAGCAAACAGGAUUAGAUACCCUGGUAGUCCUAGCCCUAAACCAUCAGACUUGGGGUGUGCCCUGUACGGGGCACGUCCCGUAGCUAACGCGUUAAGUCCUGCGCCUGGGGAGUACGGUCGCAAGGCUGAAACUCAAAGGAAUGACGGGGGCCCGCACAAGCGGUGGAACAUGUGGCUCAAUCGACGCACGCGAAGAAUCUUACCUGGGCUUGAACCGCACAGGACCAUCUUUGGAAACAGAGACUUC
RNAcentral lists this ribosomal RNA (1009 nucleotides) under uncultured bacterium. Its description in RNAcentral is "bacterial SSU rRNA". It matches the Rfam family "Bacterial small subunit ribosomal RNA", at positions 8 to 1016 of the family's 1533-position model. The record is from RNAcentral.